GGUUUAGUAGUUCAGUGGAAAAACGUAUGCUUAACAGCCAUCUGUAUGCGCGCAUAAGGUCCCGGAAUCGAAACCCAGUAGAACCU
Non-coding RNA from Naganishia friedmannii, 86 nucleotides. The record is from the annotation of a GenBank genome assembly. NCBI's taxonomy places the organism in Eukaryota, Fungi, Basidiomycota, Tremellomycetes, Filobasidiales, Filobasidiaceae.